GGGGGCAUAGCUCAGUUGAUAGAGCACUUGACUUGCAAUCAAGAGGUCGUGGGUUUGAAUCCCAUUGCCUCCA
Molecule: transfer RNA, 73 nt
Filed under: Malacoplasma penetrans HF-2
Lineage: Bacteria; Bacillati; Mycoplasmatota; Mycoplasmoidales; Mycoplasmoidaceae
Description: Mycoplasma penetrans HF-2 tRNA
Rfam family: tRNA
About the family: Transfer RNA (tRNA) molecules are approximately 80 nucleotides in length. Their secondary structure includes four short double-helical elements and three loops (D, anti-codon, and T loops). Further hydrogen bonds mediate the characteristic L-shaped molecular structure. tRNAs have two regions of fundamental functional importance: the anti-codon, which is responsible for specific mRNA codon recognition, and the 3' end, to which the tRNAs corresponding amino acid is attached (by aminoacyl-tRNA synthetases). tRNAs cope with the degeneracy of the genetic code in two manners: having more than one tRNA (with a specific anti-codon) for a particular amino acid; and 'wobble' base-pairing, i.e. permitting non-standard base-pairing at the 3rd anti-codon position.
Source: Rfam by way of RNAcentral